Molecule: long non-coding RNA, 1177 nt
Organism: Myxocyprinus asiaticus (Chinese sucker)
Lineage: Eukaryota; Metazoa; Chordata; Actinopteri; Cypriniformes; Catostomidae
Exons: 4
Source: RefSeq, a predicted model, not a curated record
GUGAGAGAAACAAAAACAAGAAUAGAAAAGUACAAUUCAAAUCUGCACAGAACCUGUCAGCGACCUGUGACCUUCCUUAUGAAAGAGCAGCAGUGAUCACUGGUGUCCCUCCACAUGUCAUCAGAAAUGCUGAUCAAUGAAGACUUUGGGUGUUUUCCAAACGUCACUUUUGCGCCCCUGAAGGUCACUGCAGGAAGGGGACGCCACUCGAAGGGUCGUUCCAAACGAAAUUCACAGCUUCAUGCAGUAUUAUGAAGCCCCGGGCAGACGUUUACAGUAAAUACAGCAUGCCUGAAAAUGUGGAAGACAGCCAUGUCCAAAAGUGUGCCAAGAAUGCUCACCAGAGGAGAAAAGGCUGCUGAUGUCAAGAUUUAUAGUGAAAAAUUGCUUGCAUUUUGGUCUGUUCUCACCCAAAACCGAUCAGAUCUCUUCAGAAGACAUGGAUUAAACCACUGGAGUUGUAUGGAUUACCUUUAUUUUGCUUUUUUGUCCUUAUUGUAGCUUGAAAGAGCUUGUCCCAUUCACUUGCAUUGUGUGGAUAUAUUCAUAUCAUAUCUCCAUCAAAAUAUCUUUGUGUGCCGCAAAAGAAAAAGUAAUACAAGUUUGAGACAACAUAAGUUUGAGUAAAUGAUGAGAGAAUUCUUUUUAGUUGAACUAUUCCUUUAACGAUUCAAUAAUAAGCUCAUUAGAUUUCCAUGGAGAUCUGUGAUGAUUUGGUUUUCUUUCAGACUGAUGAAUAUUUGUUUCGCGAUUGGUUUGAAGAGGCCUUAAAAUAUGGUUCUGAAAAAGAAGGUUUUGCGCUAUGAGAUAAUUGCUUACAGUUACGGGGUCCAUCCUGACCACCACAGUUUGGACUACACAAUGUGAUGGAUAUUUGCACUUUGUGGGAGAAAAAGAUGAAACUUUGUUCAAAAUGUCCUGACUUUAGCAAUCAUUCUUGCUUUACUGUUUUAUUAAUAGAUACUUUACAAAUCCCUUAAGAGACAAUGCAGUCCAACAGCAACCACACAUUUUAAUUAACUGUUGACCACCUCUCACAAGAAAUUACAAUAUAAACACUUAUUUGACAAACUAUGUUAGAUCAUCUGUGUAUGAAUGUAUAAGAUGCGUUAGUGUGAGUGUCAGUGAUGUGCUGGUGGUGAAUGAGCUGUGCUGCAGGUAAUGGAUCAUCAGCAGA